This 1249-nucleotide long non-coding RNA is filed under the name Callithrix jacchus (white-tufted-ear marmoset). RNAcentral describes it as "lncRNA (ENSCJAG00000083928.1)". Lineage: Eukaryota; Metazoa; Chordata; Mammalia; Primates; Cebidae. The record is from RNAcentral.
GGGGGCUGGAGGAGGGAAGUGAGAAGAGUGUGCCCGGGGCCUGAGGGCUGGUCUGGAGGCGUGUUGGGGCGAGGUGGUGCUGGCCGUGCUCCUGUCUGAGAUGGGCAGAGGGAAGGCGCCCAGGACUGCGCUCGAGUCCCCAGGCCGGGGUGCGGCUCAUCCAUCCCGUGGUUUCAGAUUCGCCUGGCGUGUUGUUGCAAGACUGCCUGGCACUCAGCUUGCCCGGUGCUGCCUGGCCCGGCAGCCUUUUCCCAGAUCUCACAAGGGAAGCACAGAUGGGAAAACUCCAUCAGCAGGGCGUCGCCCCCAAGGGCUGCCUCCGCUCCAUGCCACGCUGGGUCCCUUGGCGGUUACGUGGGUCCUGGGAGGGAGCCUAUGACUCUUCCUGGGUUUGCAGCGAUGGGGAUGGGGUGUGGCGCCAGCCUGGCCUCAUGGGUUUGCAGUGCUGUGGAUCCCUCUGGCUUCCUGACCUCGAUUCCUUUUGACAUACAAGCCUGCAUGGCAUGAAUUCCCGGGAUGACUGGCCGGGCGGGCUCUCUGCGCCCCUGGCAGCGCUGCCCAUGACCGCUCUGUGAAGCCACUCUCCUUCCUUCCUGGCGCUCCUCCCUCCCUCCUUUCUUCUCUCUUUUCCUACCUAAAUGUUUAUCCAGUCCCUCCUGCAUUAAAUAUCCGUGCUGGGCAACAGAUCACCAUGAACUUGGUGACUGCGCCACCACUGCCUGUCCGCGCCCAGCUGUAGACGAGGGUCUGGGAGGCACCAAAAGCUCCCAGGCUGAAGCGGGUGCUGGGCUGCAGGCACUGGAGGUGGGGCCUCUCCCACACUCCCUGGCCAUCAGCUGGUGAGUUCUUUUUUCUUCUGCGUCUUCUUGAGGAUGAAGUCUUGGCAGUAGGCCUCCCGUUUCUCUCACGGGCUAUUCCUGGGGUUCCCUCAGCUCCUGGAGGUUCCCACAGUCCCCUUCCCCAAGGCCCCCUAUCCCCACCCUGUGCUUCUUCAGUGCCAGCAGGAGAAAUUCUCCCUCAUCAGCUUCUUCGGAGAAGGACUCACCUGGUCAGGUCAGGCCCACACGGGGCCUCCGAUACGCAGCGACCUUUCUCCAGUUAAAUUCUGAGCUAUUCUUUUACCCCUAGAAGGGCGUCUUCUAUAGAAUAGAGUAAAACUGUUAUGAGAUUGUUAGAACAAGCUCUUGCAGGCACCUGCACUUGGCAGAAGAGUCGAUCGAAUUCCAUCUAGAUGGGACUUCACUGAAGG